RNAcentral lists this ribosomal RNA (292 nucleotides) under uncultured Bacteroidota bacterium. Its description in RNAcentral is "uncultured Bacteroidetes bacterium partial 16S ribosomal RNA". Lineage: Bacteria; Pseudomonadati; Bacteroidota. The record is from RNAcentral.
GGACUACCGGGGUUUCUAAUCCUGUUUGCUCCCCACGCUUUCGUGCCUCAGCGUCAGUUACAGUUUAGUGAGCUGCCUACGCAAUCGGUGUUCUGUGUCAUAUCUAAGCAUUUCACCGCUACAUGACACAUUCCGCCCACUUCAAAUGUACUCAAGAUCAUCAGUAUCAAUGGCAAUUCCCAGGUUAGGCCUGGGGCUUUCACCACUGACUUAAUAAUCCGCCUACGCACCCUUUAAACCCAAUAAAUCCGGAUAACGCUUGGGACCUUCGUAUUACCGCGGCUGCUGGCAC